CAGGACGAACGCUGGCGGCGCGCCUAACACAUGCAAGUCGAACGGUGAAGAGGAGCUUGCUCCUCGGAUCAGUGGCGGACGGGUGAGUAACACGUGAGCAACCUGGCUCUAAGAGGGGGGACAACAGUUGGAAACGACUGCUAAUACCGCAUAACGUAUCGGGAUGGCAUCUUCCUGAUACCAAAGAUUUUAUCGCUUAGAGAUGGGCUCGCGUCUGAUUAGAUAGUUGGCGGGGUAACGGCCCACCAAGUCGACGAUCAGUAGCCGGACUGAGAGGUUGAACGGCCACAUUGGGACUGAGACACGGCCCAGACUCCUACGGGAGGCAGCAGUGGGGGAUAUUGGACAAUGGGGGCAACCCUGAUCCAGCGACGCCGCGUGAGGGAAGAAGGUUUUCGGAUUGUAAACCUCUGUUGACGGAGAAAAAAUGAUGGUAUCCGUUUAGAAAGCCACGGCUAACUACGUG
Molecule: ribosomal RNA, 466 nt
Filed under: uncultured bacterium
Lineage: Bacteria
Description: bacterial SSU rRNA
Rfam family: Bacterial small subunit ribosomal RNA
Source: RNAcentral